AAGUCGUAACAAGGUUUCCGUAGGUGAACCUGCGGAAGGAUCAUUAUUGAUGGCUUCGGCCUUUUCUAUACACACACCUGUCGCACCAUGGCGUUCGCGCCUAUUUACAAACAACGAGUGUAACGAACGUGUCUUAUUUAACAAAUAAA
RNAcentral lists this unclassified non-coding RNA (149 nucleotides) under plant metagenome. RNAcentral's name for it is "partial contains small subunit ribosomal RNA and internal transcribed spacer 1". The stretch from base 1 to 46 matches the Rfam family "Eukaryotic small subunit ribosomal RNA", at positions 1786 to 1831 of the family's 1831-position model. The record is from RNAcentral.